GAUGAAGAACGUAGUGAAAUGCGAUAAGUAAUGUGAAUUGCAGAAUUCAGUGAAUCAUCGAAUCUUUGAACGAACAUUGCGCCCAUUAGCAUUCUAGUGGGCAUGCCUGUUCGAGCGUCAUUUCAACCCUUAAGCCCUGUUGCUUAGCGUUGGGAGCCUACAGUACUGUAGCUCCCCAAAGUUAGUGGCGGAGUCGGUUUCACACUCUAGACGUAGUAAUUUUUUCUCGUCUGUAGUUGAGCCGGUCCCCUGCCGUAAAACACCCAAUUUAUCAAGGUUGACCUCGGAUCAGGUAGGAAUACCCGCUGAACUUAAGCAUAUCAAUAAGCGGAGGA
This 335-nucleotide unclassified non-coding RNA is filed under the name soil metagenome. Its description in RNAcentral is "partial contains 5.8S ribosomal RNA, internal transcribed spacer 2, and large subunit ribosomal RNA". The stretch from base 1 to 120 matches the Rfam family "5.8S ribosomal RNA", at positions 35 to 154 of the family's 154-position model. The record is from RNAcentral.